Molecule: ribosomal RNA, 234 nt
Filed under: uncultured bacterium
Lineage: Bacteria
Description: partial 16S ribosomal RNA
Rfam family: Bacterial small subunit ribosomal RNA
Source: RNAcentral
UGAGGAACAUGACCUUCGGCGGGGGAUAGCCGGCCCAACGGCCGGGUAAUACCGCGUACGACCACAUGGGGACAUCCCUGAGUGGUGAAAGCAGCAAUGCGCCGAUGGAGUGCCUCGCGGCCUAUCAGCUAGUUGGUGAGGUAACGGCUCACCAAGGCGACGACGGGUAGCUGGUCUGAGAGGAUGGCCAGCCANAUUGGGACUGAGAUACGGCCCAGACCUCGUACGGGGAGG